GUUCCUAUAGCAACCCUGUGAGGGGAGUCCUGUUGUUCCCACUUUUCAGGUGCGGAAAAUGAGGCAGAGGAGUUAAGCUAUUUUCUCGAGCUACCACCACUGCAGUGAUCUCAUCAAUGAUGUCUCCCCAAAAUGGGGUUUGAAUCUACCUUCAGGCAGCCUCUGCCCUUGUGAUGGUAGGAUGGCAGUCCAGCUUCAGGACUACCUCUCACCAGCUCAGCACCUUAGUGAAAAGAGAACUCCUCCCAAGGGUUUAAAUACAAGCCCUAGGACUGCAUUUUAUUGAAUGUAUUAUAUAAUGUAUUAUAAUAUACUUGAGUCACAUGCCAAGCCAUACCAUGUAUCCAUCCUGGAAACCUGGAGGUGGAGUCAACCCCACCUAAAUCAACAUGGCCUGAGAAUGGGGAAGGAGAAGUUCUCCAAGGGCAAGGCGGAGGUUCUUGACAGAAGAGGAGAGAGACGCUGAGUAGAUGAGAAGAGCCAACAUCUACCACAGAGCGGAAAACAACAACCUUGAUUCUCAUGACAAGCCUGAAAGACUUCUUGGUGGUUCUCUUUAUUUGGAGAAACCUUUAUAUCUUCACACAGCUGGGAUCUUCCAAGAAGGUUUUGGAUGACUGGACCCUGGCUGUUUCUGAGUGAUCAUUCAAGUCGACCCCAUCCAGAUGGCAGACAUGGAGUGGGCCCGCUCUGGUUUGAGUCACAUCUCUUAUGCUUACCAGUUCUAUGUUCCUGGAUGAGUCAUCUCAUCACUCUGAACUUUAGCCCCUCAUCAAAAGUGAAGACACUCCUAUCUACCUGGCAGCAUUGUUGGCAA
Molecule: long non-coding RNA, 817 nt
Filed under: Rhinopithecus bieti (black snub-nosed monkey)
Lineage: Eukaryota; Metazoa; Chordata; Mammalia; Primates; Cercopithecidae
Description: lncRNA (ENSRBIG00000046724.1)
Source: RNAcentral